AAUACAUUAUACAUUCUCCACCCAAAAACACAAAAUUUGAAAAAGAAGAGACCACCUGAUAGAAACAAAAAAAAGGAAGAAAAAAAAAUAUAGCAAUGUUUGUACAUGUUCUACAAAGUUUCUAAGUGGGGAACAGGUAUGAGGUGAAAAGGGAAAAAAGAAAACAUCUCUAACCAAAGCCCCUUGAAAAGGGAAAAAAGAAAAAAAAUAAUUCUUAGUAUAUAAACUCUAGGCCUUUUGGCUUAUAAUCA
Molecule: unclassified non-coding RNA, 251 nt
Filed under: Hevea brasiliensis (rubber tree)
Lineage: Eukaryota; Viridiplantae; Streptophyta; Magnoliopsida; Malpighiales; Euphorbiaceae
Source: RNAcentral